CCCUUAGAUGUUCUGGGCUGCACGCGUGCUACACUGAUUACUUCAACAAGUGUUUUAACUGGAGAGUUCGCGUAAUCCUGAAAUGUUAUCGUGAUGGGAGUAGAGUAUUGUAUUUGUUAAUCUUUAACGAGGACUUCCUAGUAAGUGUAGGUUUAUUUGUUUUUUUUUACGUCCCUGCCCUUUGUACACACCGCCCGUCGCUCCUACCGAUUGAUUGAUCCGGUGAAUUACAUAGAAUUUUGCGUUUUACAUGACGGAAGAUGAAGUGUUUUAAACCUUAUCAUUUAGAGGAAGGAGAAGUCGUGACA
This 308-nucleotide ribosomal RNA is filed under the name uncultured eukaryote. RNAcentral describes it as "partial 18S ribosomal RNA". It matches the Rfam family "Eukaryotic small subunit ribosomal RNA", at positions 1470 to 1796 of the family's 1831-position model. The record is from RNAcentral.